GACGAACGCUGGCGGCGUGCUUAACACAUGCCAGUCGAACGGAAAGGCCCUGCUUUUGUGGGGUGCUCGAGUGGCGAACGGGUGAGUAACACGUGAGUAACCUGCCCUUGACUUUGGGAUAACUUCAGGAAACUGGGGCUAAUACCGGAUAGGAGCUCCUGCUGCAUGGUGGGGGUUGGAAAGUUUCGGCGGUUGGGGAUGGACCCGCGGCUUAUCAGCUUGUUGGUGGGGUAGUGGCUUACCAAGGCUUUGACGGGUAGCCGGCCUGAGAGGGUGACCGGCCACAUUGGGACUGAGAUACGGCCCAGACUCCUACGGGAGGCAGCAGUGGGGAAUAUUGCACAAUGGGCGGAAGCCUGAUGCAGCAACGCCGCGUGCGGGAUGACGGCCUUCGGGUUGUAAACCGCUUUCGCCUGUGACGAAGCGUGAGUGACGGUAAUGGGUAAAGAAGCACCAGCUAACUACGUG
Molecule: ribosomal RNA, 468 nt
Filed under: uncultured bacterium
Lineage: Bacteria
Description: partial 16S ribosomal RNA
Rfam family: Bacterial small subunit ribosomal RNA
Source: RNAcentral